Molecule: ribosomal RNA, 253 nt
Filed under: uncultured bacterium
Lineage: Bacteria
Description: partial 16S ribosomal RNA
Rfam family: Bacterial small subunit ribosomal RNA
Source: RNAcentral
UACGUAGGGCGCAAGCGUUAUCCGGAAUUAUUGGGCGUAAGGAGCUCGUAGGCGGUUUGUCGCGUCUGCUGUGAAAACCCGAGGCUCAACCUCGGGCCUGCAGUGGGUACGGGCAGACUAGAGUGCGGUAGGGGAGAUUGGAAUUCCUGGUGUAGCGGUGGAAUGCGCAGAUAUCAGGAGGAACACCAAUGGCGAAGGCAGAUCUCUGGGCCGUAACUGACGCUGAGGAGCGAAAGCAUGGGGAGCGAACAGG